AAAAACAUGGUCUUUUGUUUAUAUAAAAGAUCUGACCUGCCCAAUGAUAUUAAUUUAAUGGCUGCAGUAUUUUGACUGUACAAAGGUAGCAUAAUCAUUUGUCUUUUGAUUGGAGUCUGGAAUGAAUGGUUAGAUGAAAGAUUUACUUUCUUUAUUUUAAAAUUAAAAAUUAAUUUUUAAAUCAAAAAGUUUAAUUGGUAAUAAAGGACGAGAAGACCCUAUAGAACUUUAUUUAUAUAAAUUAUUUAUUAAUUUGUUAAUUAUUAAUAUAUAUUUUUUUAUAAAUUGUGUUGGGGUGACAAAAAAAAUAUUCUAACUUUUUUUAAUUAAAGCAUUUAUUUAUGCAUUUUGAUCCUUUAAUAUGGAAUAUAAGAUUAAGUUACCUUAGGGAUAACAGCGUUAUUAUUUUGGAGAGUUCUUAUCAAUAAAAUAGUUUGCGACCUCGAUGUUGGAUUAAAAUUAGCUCUAGGAGUAGAAGAUUAGUGGCUAAGUCUGUUCGACUUUUAAAUUUUUACAUGAUCU
This 522-nucleotide ribosomal RNA is filed under the name Eremotylus nr. glaber Msp207. RNAcentral's name for it is "partial large subunit ribosomal RNA". It matches the Rfam family "Archaeal large subunit ribosomal RNA", at positions 1901 to 2675 of the family's 2987-position model. The record is from RNAcentral. Lineage: Eukaryota; Metazoa; Arthropoda; Insecta; Hymenoptera; Ichneumonidae.